UGCGCGUGAAGGAUAGGUCCUCUGGAUUGUAAACUUCUUUUAUAUGGGACGAAAAAAGGUCUUCUAGAUCACUUGACGGUACCAUAUGAAUAAGCACCGGCUAACUCCGCUGCCAGCAGCCGCGGCAAUACGGAGGGUGCAAGCGUAUCCGGAUUCACUGGGCUUUAAAGGGUGCGUAGGCGGGCAGGUCACGUCAGUGGUGAAAUCCUGCAGCUCAACUCCAGAACUGCCAUUGAUACUAUCUGUCUUGACUAUUGUGGACGUAAGCGGACUAUGCUCAUGCUAGCGGUGAAAUGCUUCCAUCUGACAUACAACACCCAUUGCGAAGGCAGCUUACUACGCAUAUAUUGACGCUGAGGCACCACAGCGUGGGGAUCAAACAGGAUCACAUACCCUGGCUAGUCCACGCCCACAACGCAUGGAUACUCGACAUACGCGAUACACUGUGUGUGCCUGAGCGAAAGCAUUAAGUAUCCCACCUGGGAAGUACGUUCGCCAGACUGAAACUCAAAGGAAUCGGCGGGGGUCCGCACAAGCGGCUGG
Molecule: ribosomal RNA, 543 nt
Filed under: uncultured bacterium
Lineage: Bacteria
Description: bacterial SSU rRNA
Rfam family: Bacterial small subunit ribosomal RNA
Source: RNAcentral